GAGGUUUUUUAUCGUUCGGCUGCUGUCCUGUUGACAUAUGUAAAAUAUCUCCAAUAUUAAAAGUCUCUGGAUCAUAGUGGGUGCCAUAUUACCUAUUAUUUUUUUCUAAAACGUGCUUUGUAUAUAGAAAUAAGAAGAUGAGGUAUGAGUGCCAAAUGAGACAUCUUUCCAACAAAGACAUAAUUUAGUAAAGUAAGCAGUCAUAGGUCCAAUGCUGAAAAGUAAGCUAUUAAUGACCCCAAAAUUACUUGUGUAAAACAAUCCAAACAAAAACAAAAAAAAAACAAAAAAAACCGGCCCAAUUAAUAUAUAAAAG
RNAcentral lists this long non-coding RNA (316 nucleotides) under Mytilus galloprovincialis (Mediterranean mussel). Lineage: Eukaryota; Metazoa; Mollusca; Bivalvia; Mytilida; Mytilidae. The record is from RNAcentral.